This 253-nucleotide ribosomal RNA is filed under the name uncultured bacterium. Its description in RNAcentral is "partial 16S ribosomal RNA". It matches the Rfam family "Bacterial small subunit ribosomal RNA", at positions 524 to 776 of the family's 1533-position model. The record is from RNAcentral.
UACGAGUGCCUCGAGCGUUGUUCGGAUUCAUUGGGCGUAAAGGGUGCGUAGGCGGCGCGGUAAGUCGGGUGUGAAAUCUCGGAGCUUAACUCCGAAACUGCAUUCGAUACUGCCGUGCUUGAGGACUGGAGAGGAGACUGGAAUUUACGGUGUAGCGGUGAAAUGCGUAGAUAUCGUAAGGAAGACCAGUGGCGAAGGCGGGUCUCUGGACAGUUCCUGACGCUGAGGCACGAAGGUCAGGGGAGCAAACGGG